AAUAACACGGUUCGUAGUGACCUGCGGAAGGAUCAUUAUCGUAGGGCUUCGGCCCUGUCGAGAUAGAACCCUUGCCUUUUUAAGUACCUUUCGUUUCCUCGGCAGGCUCGCCUGCCGAUGGACCCCCCAAAAAACACUUUGCAGUACCUGUAAUAGUCUGAACAACAAACAAAAAAUUAAAACUUUCAACAACGGAUCUCUUGGUUCUGGCAUCGAUGAAGAACGCAGCGAAAUGCGAUAAGUAGUGUGAAUUGCAGAAUUCAGUGAAUCAUCGAAUCUUUGAACGCACAUUGCGCCCUUUGGUAUUCCUUAGGGCAUGCCUGUUCGAGCGUCAUUUAAACCUUCAAGCUCAGCUUGGUGUUGGGUGACUGUCCGCUGCCCUCGGGUGCGGACUCGCCUCAAAAUCAUUGGCGGCCGGUACAUUGGCUUCGAGCGCAGCAGAAACGCGAACUCGGAGUUGUUGUAUUAGCUCCCAGAAGCUAUCUUCAUAAUUUUGACCUCGGAUCAGGUAGGGAUACCCGCUGAACUUAAGCAUAUCAAA
RNAcentral lists this ribosomal RNA (541 nucleotides) under fungal endophyte. Its description in RNAcentral is "eukaryotic LSU rRNA". The stretch from base 181 to 334 matches the Rfam family "5.8S ribosomal RNA". Lineage: Eukaryota; Fungi. The record is from RNAcentral.